Molecule: ribosomal RNA, 253 nt
Filed under: uncultured bacterium
Lineage: Bacteria
Description: partial 16S ribosomal RNA
Rfam family: Bacterial small subunit ribosomal RNA
Source: RNAcentral
UACAGAGGGUGCGAGCGUUAAUCGGAAUUACUGGGCGUAAAGCGUGCGUAGACGGUUAUUUAAGUCGGGUGUGAAAGCCCCGGGCUCAACCUGGGAAUUGCAUUCGAGACUGAAUAGCUAGGGUACGGUAGAGGGAAGUGGAAUUUCCGGUGUAGCGGUGAAAUGCGUAGAUAUCGGAAGGAACAUCAGUGGCGAAAGCGGCAUCCUGGACCAACACUGACACUGAGGAGCGAAAGCCAGGGGAGCAAACGGG